Molecule: ribosomal RNA, 749 nt
Filed under: uncultured archaeon
Lineage: Archaea
Description: bacterial SSU rRNA
Rfam family: Archaeal small subunit ribosomal RNA
Source: RNAcentral
GCGAGUCGAGAGGGUUCGGCCCUCGGCUGACGGCUCAGUAACACGUGGAUAAUCUGCCCUUAGGUGGAGGAUACCCUCGGGAAACUGAGAAUAAUACUCCAUAGGCCUAGGAUGCUGGAAUGCAUCUAGGCUCAAAGUUCCGGCGCCUAAGGAUGAGUCUGCGGACUAUCAGGUUGUAGUCAGGGUAAUGACCUGACUAGCCUACGACGGAUAUGGGUUGUGAGAGCAAUAACCUAGAGAUGAUAUCUGAGACACGAUAUCAGGCCCUACGGGGCGCAGCAGGCGCGAAAACUUCACACUGUGCGAAAGCGCGAUGAGGGAAUCCCAAGUGCUUGCUCGUAAGAGUAAGCUGUUUUUAUGUUUAAAACGCAUAGAGAGUAAGAGCUGGGUAAGACGGGUGCCAGCCGCCGCGGUAAUACCUGCAGCUCGAGUGGUGGCCGCUAUUAUUGGGCCUAAAACGUCCGUAGCCGGUUUAAUAAAUGCCUGGGUAAAUCGUGUAGCUCAACUAUACGAAUUCCGGGUAGACUGUUAAACUUGGGACCGGGAGAGGCUAGAGGUACUCCUGGGGUAGAGGUGAAAUUCUGUAAUCCUAGGGGGACCACCAGUGGCGAAGGCGUCUAGCUAGAACGGGUCUGACGGUGAGGGACGAAGCCCUGGGGCGCAAACCGGAUUAGAUACCCGGGUAGUCCAGGGUGUAAACGCUGCUUGCUUGAUGUUAGUCGGGCUCCGAGCCCGAUUAGUGUCGGAGA